Molecule: long non-coding RNA, 208 nt
Organism: Perognathus longimembris pacificus (Pacific pocket mouse)
Lineage: Eukaryota; Metazoa; Chordata; Mammalia; Rodentia; Heteromyidae
Exons: 4
Source: RefSeq, a predicted model, not a curated record
UUGUGUCAUACUUGUCUCUAUCUAUCUACCUUGGGUAACAUGAUUCUUGUCUAUUUAUGACAGGGAAGGAGUUGCUUAAUAUGUGGGAAAAACAACUGUGCGUUACAAACACAUUUCUCAAUACAACAGUAACAGAAAAACAAAGACUAUUUCUUCUGGAACACAGUCCCUCGUUGCUAGAUUUGGUUUGCCUAUAGUAAUUCCUGGC